This 1377-nucleotide ribosomal RNA is filed under the name Vibrio parahaemolyticus. Its description in RNAcentral is "partial 23S ribosomal RNA". It matches the Rfam family "Bacterial large subunit ribosomal RNA", at positions 1572 to 2925 of the family's 2925-position model. The record is from RNAcentral. Lineage: Bacteria; Pseudomonadati; Pseudomonadota; Gammaproteobacteria; Vibrionales; Vibrionaceae.
AGCACCUACGGGUGUGAAGUCAUUGAUGCCAUGCUUCCAGGAAAAGCCUCUAAGCUUCAGAUUGUAAGGAAUCGUACCCCAAACCGACACAGGUGGUCGGGUAGAGAAUACCAAGGCGCUUGAGAGAACUCGGGUGAAGGAACUAGGCAAAAUGGUACCGUAACUUCGGGAGAAGGUACGCUCUCGACGGUGAAGUCCCUCGCGGAUGGAGCUAUUGAGAGUCGCAGAUACCAGGUGGCUGCAACUGUUUAUUAAAAACACAGCACUGUGCAAAAUCGUAAGAUGACGUAUACGGUGUGACGCCUGCCCGGUGCCGGAAGGUUAAUUGAUGGGGUUAGACUUCGGUCGAAGCUCUUGAUCGAAGCCCCGGUAAACGGCGGCCGUAACUAUAACGGUCCUAAGGUAGCGAAAUUCCUUGUCGGGUAAGUUCCGACCUGCACGAAUGGCGUAAUGAUGGCCACGCUGUCUCCACCCGAGACUCAGUGAAAUUGAAAUCGCUGUGAAGAUGCAGUGUACCCGCGGCUAGACGGAAAGACCCCGUGAACCUUUACUACAGCUUGGCACUGAACAUUGACCCUACAUGUGUAGGAUAGGUGGGAGGCUUUGAAGCACGUACGCCAGUAUGUGUGGAGCCGUCCUUGAAAUACCACCCUUGUAGUGUUGAUGUUCUAACGUCGACCCCUUAUCGGGGUUGCGGACAGUGCCUGGUGGGUAGUUUGACUGGGGCGGUCUCCUCCCAAAGAGUAACGGAGGAGCACGAAGGUGGGCUAAUCACGGUUGGACAUCGUGAGGUUAGUGCAAUGGCAUAAGCCCGCUUGACUGCGAGAAUGACAAUUCGAGCAGGUGCGAAAGCAGGUCAUAGUGAUCCGGUGGUUCUGAAUGGAAGGGCCAUCGCUCAACGGAUAAAAGGUACUCCGGGGAUAACAGGCUGAUACCGCCCAAGAGUUCAUAUCGACGGCGGUGUUUGGCACCUCGAUGUCGGCUCAUCACAUCCUGGGGCUGAAGUCGGUCCCAAGGGUAUGGCUGUUCGCCAUUUAAAGUGGUACGCGAGCUGGGUUUAGAACGUCGUGAGACAGUUCGGUCCCUAUCUGCCGUGGGCGUUGGAAGAUUGAAGGGGGCUGCUCCUAGUACGAGAGGACCGGAGUGGACGAACCUCUGGUGUUCGGGUUGUGUCGCCAGACGCAUUGCCCGGUAGCUAAGUUCGGAAUCGAUAACCGCUGAAAGCAUCUAAGCGGGAAGCGAGCCCUGAGAUGAGUCUUCCCUGAUACUUUAAGUAUCCUAAAGGGUUGUCGGAGACUACGACGUUGAUAGGUCAGGUGUGUAAGUGCUGUGAGGCAUUGAGCUAACUGAUACUAAUUGCCCGUGAGGCUUAACCAU